AAGAUUUGUGCUUGCUUGAUUGUUGUUUAUGAUGUGGUUUGAUUCAUUUUGUUGUGCAGAUAUUGGGAACAGUGAGCGAUCAAAAUCUACAAAUUUUCUGGACUCAGUGAUGGCAUCUACAAGCACAACGAAACGGGUUAAAAGAUUGUUGGAAGGAGGAUGUAAAUCUAAUCAAUUUGAUCAAGUUAAUUCAAAGAGAUGGAAAAGAGUAUGAAGCGAACUAUUGCAUGACACAACAAGGGUGAUGAUUCUUCAGAGACCGCUCUGGUAGAAUCAAGGGCAGAGAAAAAUUCCAAGACAUUUGAUAGAAGCAUCAUUAUUAGGUGCAGGAGUGUCUACAGUAGCAGCUCUUGCCAUGAUGUUUUUACUUUGGAAUG
This is a long non-coding RNA of Rosa chinensis, 377 nucleotides long. RefSeq lists it as uncharacterized. The record is from RefSeq and is a predicted model, not a curated record. The transcript has 4 exons. NCBI's taxonomy places the organism in Eukaryota, Viridiplantae, Streptophyta, Magnoliopsida, Rosales, Rosaceae.